Molecule: ribosomal RNA, 461 nt
Filed under: uncultured Glomus
Lineage: Eukaryota; Fungi; Glomeromycota; Glomeromycetes; Glomerales; Glomeraceae
Description: SSU rRNA
Rfam family: Eukaryotic small subunit ribosomal RNA
Source: RNAcentral
AAGCUCGUAGUUGAAUUUCGGGAUCAAUUUAUUGGUCGUGCUAUUGUACGUACUGGUAUUGUUGAUUCCUACCUUCUGACGAACCAUGAUGUCAUUAAUUUGGUGUCAUGGGGAAUCAGGACUGUUACUUUGAAAAAAUUAGAGUGUUUAAAGCAGGCUCACGCUUGAAUACAUUAGCAUGGAAUAACGAAAUAGGACGUUUGAUUCUAUUUUGUUGGUUUCUAGGAUCGACGUAAUGAUUAAUAGGGAUAGUUGGGGGCAUUAGUAUUCAAUUGUCAGAGGUGAAAUUCUUGGAUUUAUUGAAGACUAACUACUGCGAAAGCAUUUGCCAAGGAUGUUUUCAUUAAUCAAGAACGAAAGUUAGGGGAUCGAAGACGAUCAGAUACUGUCGUAGUCUUAACCAUAAACUAUGCCGACUAGGGAUCGGAUGAUGUUAAUUUUUUAAUGACUCAUUCGGCACC